RNAcentral lists this long non-coding RNA (1236 nucleotides) under Prunus persica (peach). RNAcentral's name for it is "long non-coding RNA (PPER_LNC000489)". Lineage: Eukaryota; Viridiplantae; Streptophyta; Magnoliopsida; Rosales; Rosaceae. The record is from RNAcentral.
CCAGGAUGAUCAAUUGGCGGUAGAGCCGUCAAGCUUACGGUGACUGGCUAUGAUGAUCUUCAUGAUUUGUCAGAGAGAGAGAGAGAGAGAGAGAGAGUUGUUGUAGUUUAGGUGGGGUUGGAAUGGUGGUGAGGGUGGCUAUGGUUUUGGGGUUGGAGUGGUGGUGGUGAUGGUGGCUGGGUUUGGGAGGUGGUUGAGGUGUGUGCGCGAAUUGGGGAAGGUGAAAUUUAAAAGGAAUAUAUUCCAUUUUCAAUUUGAAUUAAAAAUUUUAUCAUCAAUUACAUUUUUUAAAAAAUUAAUUUUAUAUUUUUAAAGGAAUGGACCACAUUGACUAACAUAUACAAACACAAGGACCAAAUUGGCCAAAUUGAUAACACGGGGACUAAAUUGGCCUAUGAGAUAAAACACAAGGACCAUUUUAACAUUUAAGCCUUUUCAUUUUAAGAGAAUAAAAAUAGACAGAAAACCUGUUCGAUGGGCAAAAACAGAAAACACAAAGAAUAUUUUAUGAAAACAAAAACAAUUUCAUGUUUACUUGUAGAAAACAGAAAAAAGCUGUUUUCAUUCUCACAGCAAACAACACUGAAAACACGUUGCUUUUCUCCCCAUCAGACCAAAACCACAGUCAAACACUGCCAACAUAGAAUCACACGCAGAGCUUGAACCACCAACAUCACCCCAAUCAAAAUCACCACUGCCCCAUCCAACUAGAUUGUCACCGCCACUCAAUCGAACUGAACAAAAUCUUUACGCAAUUGAAUUGAACCACCAUUAUUGAACAACUAAUUGCCGAACCAAUUUUCAAUCCAAGAAAAGGAAAGGGAGCUAGGAAGCUAUUGGAAGGUGAGGUUGCAGUGAGAGAGAGAUAGAGAGAGGGUGCAGCCGCAUGAAGAGAAAGUGGAAAAGAAGGGGGUUGGCCUGGUUCUUCAAUUGGGGAGAGAGAGAGAGAGAGAGAGAGAGAGAGGAAUGAUAGAAUUGGGGUGGGUUUACAGAGAGUGAAAGCGAAGGUCAGGUUGAGGUUUCAAUUUUUUUUUAAAAGAUAAUUUUAGUUUUAUACUAUAGAAUUUUUUUCUAUUUUUUUUCUAUUUUUUAAAUGAUAUUCUUUAAGAUGCUUAAAAAAUAUUUUUUAAAAAUAAUAUACAUACUUUUUUUUUAAACUCACAUAUUGAUUACAUAAUGUUGUAUUAAAAAAUAAUAAUGCAUUUUAAUUAAAGUUACAUAUAUCUUCACUGUUUU